CACCGAGCCGUGUAUAACUAUAAUACCCAGCCGCCACGACAGCGUGCCCACAAACCCAACUCCUCUCGCUCUCUCCCCGUCUGCCCCUCUCUUGACGACCUCUUCCCAAAUGAAGCGCCCGCAACCGCAACAAGCUGCUGCGGAGCAGAUCAUGGCGCUGUACGACGCCUGCUGGUUCCGCCGCCUCGUGCUGCUCGCUUCCCCUCCUCCCGCGGCGGCACCUCGGCCAUCUGUACCGGCGCAGCAGGCGCCGGUGGAGCGCGACGAGUUGGGUACUACGCACACGCCGCAUGCGCAGCGGCCUGCUUCUUCGAGUCCCACGGCCGGCGGGCUGCGGCACCGGCGAACGCGGAGCGACGAGGCUACCGCGGCCGCGUUCCUGGGCAUGGAGCCGCUGAGGCUCCCCGACAGAGGCAACCGCGCGCGCCUCCAGACCAUACUCUCGGGCAAAGACGGGCUCGUGGCCGCGCCGCCGCCGGAACGGAGAAGGCCCGGGCCCGGGAGGCGGCGGCAGCGGCGGCGCGGGCGGAGCAUGUCGGAGCUGGAGUUCGAGGAGGUCAAGGGCCUGCAGGACCUCGGCUUCACCUUCGCCGACGCCGAGGUGGACGCCGAGCUCGCGUCCAUCGUGCCGGGCCUAAGGAGGAAGCGGUCCGAGGAGGACAACAACAGCCGGGCCACGGCGGCGUCGACGUCUUCGGCCCGGCCGGAAGCUGCCGACGACGCGUCCGUGGCCGCCGUCGUGGCGCCGAGGCGGCCGUACCUCUCGGAGGCGUGGGACAGCGAGGAAGAAGAAGAGGUCAGGAGGGCGCUGCGCAGCUGGCGGAUACCGCCGGCUGGCGACGGCAACGAGCUCAAGGAGCACCUCCGGAUGUGGGCGCACACCGUGGCCUCCGCUGUCCGGUGACAGAAUCAACUUCUCUUUUCCUCCUCCUUUUUUUUAAUUGAUCACAAAACGCCAUUGGAGGUUGUCAGUUCGGUGACAGAUCGAAGUUUUGAGCAUGUAUAAAUAUGUGACCAAUAUUCGCAUGGGCAUCUAUAUCCAAGUUAUUAUUAUGAGCAUGUACAUGUACGUUUAUAUACAUAGUGGAAACACGAGAAGUGCAAUCCUUGUGCAGGAAGCAUAGCCAUAGCACGAAAUGAACAUGUGGCAAAAAAAAAGGGACAUGGGAGAGAGAGAUGAUCUCAUUUGCGCGCGCGCGGCAUGAGAUGCGAUCUCAUCUGAUUUCUGGCCACUGUUUGCCAAGAAAAGCAUCGUGUGGCUAGCUUGCUUUGAAGCUAAGGGUUCCAUAAUUCCACGAGUCAUGAUGGCAAGCCCAACAAUGAUGUGUUUGGAACAAUCUAGGUUUCCUGGCAGCUGACUUGUCAAAAUCCAGCGUGGUACGUGACAGAAAAGCUCUAGCUCCCCCUCCUCCUUAUUGGUCCUGAGUCAGCAGCUGCCCCUGCUGCUGCCUUUUUUUCUUCGUUCCACUAACUACAAUGUGCCCACAAACCCAACUCCUCUCGCUCUCUCCCCGUCUGCCCCUCUCUUGACGACCUCUUCCCAAAUGAAGCGCCCGCAACCGCAACAAGCUGCUGCGGAGCAGAUCAUGGCGCUGUACGACGCCUGCUGGUUCCGCCGCCUCGUGCUGCUCGCUUCCCCUCCUCCCGCGGCGGCACCUCGGCCAUCUGUACCGGCGCAGCAGGCGCCGGUGGAGCGCGACGAGUUGGGUACUACGCACACGCCGCAUGCGCAGCGGCCUGCUUCUUCGAGUCCCAC
This 1756-nucleotide long non-coding RNA is filed under the name Zea mays. RNAcentral's name for it is "long non-coding RNA (ZMAY_LNC005449)". Lineage: Eukaryota; Viridiplantae; Streptophyta; Magnoliopsida; Poales; Poaceae. The record is from RNAcentral.